GAUGAACGCUGGCGGCGUGCCUAAUACAUGCAAGUCGAGCGAACGGACGAGAAGCUUGCUUCUCUGAUGUUAGCGGCGGACGGGUGAGUAACACGUGUAUAACCUACCUAUAAGACUGGGAUAACUUCGGGACACCGUAGCUAAUACCGGAUAAUAUUUUGAACCGCAUGGUUCAAAAGUGAAAGACGGUCUUGCUGUCACUUAUAGAUGGAUCCGCGCUGCAUUAGCUAGUUGGUAAGGUAACGGCUUACCAAGGCAACGAUGCAUAGCCGACCUGAGAGGGUGAUCGGCCACACUGGAACUGAGACACGGUCCAGACUCCUACGGGAGGCAGCAGUAGGGAAUCUUACGCAAAGGGCGAAAGCCUGACGGAGCAACGCCGCGUGAGUGAUGAAGGUCUUCGGAUCGUAAAGCUCUGUUAUUAGGGAAGAACAUAUGUGUAAGUAACUGUGCCCAUCUUGACGGUACCUAAUCAGAAAGCCACGGCUAACUACGUG
RNAcentral lists this ribosomal RNA (497 nucleotides) under uncultured bacterium. RNAcentral describes it as "partial 16S ribosomal RNA". It matches the Rfam family "Bacterial small subunit ribosomal RNA", at positions 28 to 507 of the family's 1533-position model. The record is from RNAcentral.